Molecule: transfer RNA, 110 nt
Filed under: Melampsora larici-populina 98AG31
Lineage: Eukaryota; Fungi; Basidiomycota; Pucciniomycetes; Pucciniales; Melampsoraceae
Description: tRNA-Ser for anticodon GCU
Rfam family: tRNA
About the family: Transfer RNA (tRNA) molecules are approximately 80 nucleotides in length. Their secondary structure includes four short double-helical elements and three loops (D, anti-codon, and T loops). Further hydrogen bonds mediate the characteristic L-shaped molecular structure. tRNAs have two regions of fundamental functional importance: the anti-codon, which is responsible for specific mRNA codon recognition, and the 3' end, to which the tRNAs corresponding amino acid is attached (by aminoacyl-tRNA synthetases). tRNAs cope with the degeneracy of the genetic code in two manners: having more than one tRNA (with a specific anti-codon) for a particular amino acid; and 'wobble' base-pairing, i.e. permitting non-standard base-pairing at the 3rd anti-codon position.
Source: RNAcentral
GACACUUUGUCCGAGUGGUUAAGGAGACGCCCUGCUAGCCUCGUGACCAGAAUUGCGAGGCCGUCAGGCGUUGGGUUCUGCCCGCGCGAGUUCGAAUCUCGUAGGUGUCG